Molecule: non-coding RNA, 94 nt
Filed under: bovine gut metagenome
Description: THF riboswitch
Rfam family: THF (Tetrahydrofolate) riboswitch aptamer
About the family: THF riboswitch presents a pseudoknot that joins P1-P2 and the loop of P3 and two THF binding.
Source: RNAcentral
CAGAGUAGGCAUCGGAGCGUACAGUGUUCGCGGGACGGGGAGUUGUCCGCGAAACGAAGGGGAGACCCGCGGUUCCGUUGCCGCAUCCCGCUGU